RNAcentral lists this ribosomal RNA (496 nucleotides) under uncultured bacterium. Its description in RNAcentral is "partial 16S ribosomal RNA". It matches the Rfam family "Bacterial small subunit ribosomal RNA", at positions 28 to 506 of the family's 1533-position model. The record is from RNAcentral.
GAUGAACGCUGGCGGCGUGCCUAAUACAUGCAAGUCGAGCGAACAGACGAGGAGCUUGCUCCUCUGACGUUAGCGGCGGACGGGUGAGUAACACGUGGAUAACCUACCUAUAAGACUGGGAUAACUUCGGGAAACCGGAGCUAAUACCGGAUAAUAUAUUGAACCGCAUGGUUCAAUAGUGAAAGACGGUUUUGCUGUCACUUAUAGAUGGAUCCGCGCCGCAUUAGCUAGUUGGUAAGGUAACGGCUUACCAAGGCGACGAUGCGUAGCCGACCUGAGAGGGUGAUCGGCCACACUGGAACUGAGACACGGUCCAGACUCCUACGGGAGGCAGCAGUAGGGAAUCUUCCGCAAUGGGCGAAAGCCUGACGGAGCAACGCCGCGUGAGUAAUGAAGGUCUUCGGAUCGUAAAACUCUGUUAUUAGGGAAGAACAAAUGUGUAAGUAACUAUGCACGUCUUGACGGUACCUAAUCAGAAAGCCACGGCUAACUACGU